AGUGAACGCUGGCGGUAGGCCUAACACAUGCAAGUCGAACGGCAGCACAGUAAGAGCUUGCUCUUACGGGUGGCGAGUGGCGGACGGGUGAGGAAUACAUCGGAAUCUACUUUUUCGUGGGGGAUAACGUAGGGAAACUUACGCUAAUACCGCAUACGACCUACGGGUGAAAGCAGGGGAUCUUCGGACCUUGCGCGAUUGAAUGAGCCGAUGUCGGAUUAGCUAGUUGGCGUGGUAAAGGCCCACCAAGGCGACGAUCCGUAGCUGGUCUGAGAGGAUGAUCAGCCACACUGGAACUGAGACACGGUCCAGACUCCUACGGGAGGCAGCAGUGGGGAAUAUUGGACAAUGGGCGCAAGCCUGAUCCAGCCAUACCGCGUGGGUGAAGAAGGCCUUCGGGUUGUAAAGCCCUUUUGUUGGGAAAGAAAAGCAGCAGGUUAAUACCCCGCUGUUCUGACGGUACCCAAAGAAUAAGCAACGGCUAACUUCGUG
RNAcentral lists this ribosomal RNA (492 nucleotides) under uncultured bacterium. Its description in RNAcentral is "partial 16S ribosomal RNA". It matches the Rfam family "Bacterial small subunit ribosomal RNA", at positions 29 to 507 of the family's 1533-position model. The record is from RNAcentral.